AGUGAACGCUGGCGGUAGGCCUAACACAUGCAAGUCGAACGGCAGCACAGUAAGAGCUUGCUCUUACGGGUGGCGAGUGGCGGACGGGUGAGGAAUACAUCGGAAUCUACUUUUUCGUGGGGGAUAACGUAGGGAAACUUACGCUAAUACCGCAUACGACCUACGGGUGAAAGCAGGGGAUCUUCGGACCUUGCGCGAUUGAAUGAGCCGAUGUCGGAUUAGCUAGUUGGCGGGGUAAAGGCCCACCAAGGCGACGAUCCGUAGCUGGUCUGAGAGGAUGAUCAGCCACACUUGAACUGAGAAACGGUCCAGACUCCUACGGGAAGCAGCAGUGGGGAAUAUUGGACAAUGGGCGCAAGCCUGAUCCAGCCAUACCGCGUGGGUGAAGAAGGCCUUCGGGUUGUAAAGCCCUUUUGUUGGGAAAGAAAAGCAGCAGGUUAAUACCCCGCUGUUCUGACGGUACCCAAAGAAUAAGCACCGGCUAACUUCGUG
RNAcentral lists this ribosomal RNA (492 nucleotides) under uncultured bacterium. RNAcentral describes it as "partial 16S ribosomal RNA". It matches the Rfam family "Bacterial small subunit ribosomal RNA", at positions 29 to 507 of the family's 1533-position model. The record is from RNAcentral.